UUUUUUUUUUUUUUUUUUUUUUUGGCUGUGCCUGCAGCAUGUAGAAGUUCUCAGGCCAGGGAUUGAACCUGUUCCACAGCAGGGACCAGGGCUGCUGCAGUGAUAGUGCCAGAUCCUUAAUCUGCUGGGCCACAAGGGAACUCCAGCAUCUUUAUCUUUUACCAUUUCCUUGGGGGUACCAAGAAAGCCACUUAGCUGCCACUUAGCUUCAUUAAAGCCAACCUUGUAACCAUUCCACGCUUCCACCUAGCCAGUGUCUGUCCUGCCAUUGCAAGUCUAUUUCCACCCCGCCACCGCUGCCCCCCACCUAGCAGCAGGUACAUUACGUCCUGCUUUAGAAGCCCAGUUCUAGGUAGAUAGCGGGCCAUCAAUGAUCUAUCAGCUAGAUCAUUCUGACUCCUGAAACUUUUCCUCCCCAGUUUUCCAUUUAUCUCUUAACUCCCCUUUUAAAGCUCUCGUAAACAUAUUUUCUUCUGUUAAUGAUUUUUGAAGCCCGUAAGUUUUGCCUCUGGAAAUUUAGAAAAGUCGACAUUUACUUGGUGCCAGUCCUGGGGGCUGUUAUCAACCACAGUGAGCCAAGUCUUUCGUCUUUUCCUCAGCAUUCCUUCAAUACAACCGCCACUUCAAUAAUCUGCUCUUAUUAAUAGCAGUCUUUGUAAAUAAAACAGUUAUAAAGGAUUCUUUAGCUGUCUCCCAAGUAUUUUACAUCAGGUCCUGAAAUUAAAUUGAUUUUACACCAGAAUUCCACGUUCUUUUUCCAGCACUCUCCCCCCCACACACUGCUCCUCCCCUCACCCCAUUCAAAACAUUAUUAAAUGUUACGGUAUCUUGGCAUGUCAAAAACUCAUCCUUUGUUUGCUGGAAACAACAACCACUGGGGCAUUGCAAGCAAAAUUUAAAUGGUAACAUGGGAGUUCCCACUGUGGCUCAGGGGUAAUGAACCUGACUAGCAUCCAUGAGGAUGUGGGUUUGAUCCCUGGCCCUGCUCAGGGGGUUGAGGAUCCCUCGUUGCAUUGAGCUGUGGUGUAGGUUGCAGAUGAGGCUUGGAUCUAGGUGUGACUGUGGCUGUGGCGUAGGCUGGAAGCUGUAACUCCAGUUCAACCCCUAGCCUGGGAGCCUCCAUAUGCAGCAGGUGCGGCCCUAAAAAGAAAAAAGAAUUAAAUAGCAACAAACCAGAGAACUGGAAGGAAUCUUCUAUUGCUGGAGUCCUAUCUGCACCCAGGCAGUAGAGAUGUGGCUUCAGGCAGGCUCACAGCCCAGCCUGGGCAAGCUGGAGGCAGAGAAGAGGCAGCAGAAAUAACUGUCAGCAAACCCUGCUUGGUCUCAGAGGAAUACAGCCAGGAGCACAAAGGAAAUGAGUCCUACCACUGGGCUGGAUAGGUGUGCUAUUCUUGGCCUUUAAAUCUUCCAUGGAAAAACAGUUGAGAAAGUUCUGUGAAAGCCGGUUCCACGGAGAAUAGUCCUCUUCCAUAGAUGCCUUUGUACUCAGAGUUUCAGGGACUCUGCUAGAUUUUUCCCUUCCGUGGAGUGAAGGAGGGAAUACAAAACUAUCAAAAAGUGGUUUGGUUCAUUUACAAAAGUCUUGGGGGGGGUUUCGUAACAGAAAAACCCUUAGAAAGUAACCCCGAAGUAGGUCAGGUACAAAAAUAGUAACCAGCUCAAUUCACUUUUAACUGCUUAGGUUUUACUCUGGAGGCUGCCAUUUGGUUGAUGGGUAACCUCCACAUGUGGGCUUUUACUGAUAAGCCCCCAAGGAGAGUUCCACCUCUUUCUUCCCCUCUCCAACCCCUGCUUCUGGCACUCUAUGCUGUUUAACAGAAGUAACAGCUAGUUCACGAGAAAAAAACAAAAAAAAAAAAACCCACAAAAACAAAACCAAAACCCCAGAACAGCCAAUACUGGGCAUCUACUGAACUGUGCUUGGUGUAGCUGAGACACAUUCUCCACCCUCAAAUAAUUCACCAUCUGGCAUAAAGAAAGACAUGCAAAGAGAUAUUAGGAAUACAGUAAGAGGUGCUAUGUCUAUGCAGCGUUAUUCUGGGCCAGGAAGAAAGAAACGGUCCAUUCCUCCUGCAGAGCUGGAGAGGCUUCCCUGGCUGGUCUUGAGAGAUGGAGGGGACUUCUUGAAGCAGAGUCUCAUCUUGUAUAUGUGUGCAAGUGUGUAAGUGUUUGUGUAGGGGGGUGGCUGCAAGCAAAACCAGCAGCCAGCAUGAGACCUUCAGGACCUGAACUAACUUAGUCUGUUGGAGGACUGACCAGUAGUUUAAAAUUGCUGGCGCGUAGGUUGUGUGAGAGAACGGAGCAGGAGAGAAGCCUGGAGAGGUGAGCAGGGUCCAGACUGUGGAGGACUUGGAUACCAUUCUAAGGGCUUGGACUUUAUCCCGCAGGCGGUCGGGAGACACUGCAGGGUUUGAAGCAGGGAGGUGGCAUGAUCAGAUUUGUGCUUGGAAAGAUUUUUCUGGUAGUACCAGAACCGUGGGAUAAGCUUUCACAGUCAGUGCAUUUGCCAAAGCUUUUCUGAUCAGCUUAUCGAAUUCAGAAUCUCAAGACAUCUACGUUUUCCCACAUAGCUUUGACAUGGCAUGCCGAUUUAUUUUCUUCCUUUUUUGUGCACACACAUGCAUGUCUGCAUCCCCAUUAUAAUCCCAAUUAUCCACUCCUUCCCCCCAAACAGAGGCUUUUAAAUUGCUGGGUAUGAUGGAAAACUGGGAUUGGGACAGGAUUUUAACAAUCUGUUAGUAUACACGUCCCUGACCUUGGAAGUUGGUUCAGUUUGCUGGGAAGGCACAUGAAUUUUACCCCAUUUUCCUAGGUUUCUUUUUUCUUUCUUUCUUUCUUUCUUGCAUUUUAGGGCAGUACUCACGGAGAUUCCCAGGCUAGGGGUCGAAUCAGAGCUACAGCUGCUGGCCCCAGCCCCAGCCAUGCAGAAUCCCAGCUGUGUCUGCGACCUCCACCACAGCUCAUGGCAGCACUGGAGCCUCAACCCACUGCGCAAGGCCAGGGAUCGAACCCGCAACCUCGUGGUUCCUAGUCCGAUUCGUUUCUGCUACACCACAACGGGAUCUCCUCAGAGACCCGCUUUUGACGCAAUUCCACCAACUAAAGAAAACUUAAGCCACCUGGUUCCCCACCUCACAUGCAAAGACCAGGGCUCUAGAGGAUUCUUAAUUCCAAAUUAAGGAAUAAUUUGGUUUCCACGGUCCAGAUAGUUCCAAUAAAAGAUGUCCCUGUGUCAACAAAUUUCAUCCCUCAAUUUUUGUGGCAAGUCCCUGUCCAUUUGACAUUUGGCAGCUGGUGGUGGACAUGGCAGUAGAGGUGGGGGUGGAGAUGGUGGCGGAGGGGGGGCGGUCGUGAGGGCAAACAGUUGAUCCAGAAACAGGAUGCCAAUCAAACACCUCCUUCAGGAGACAGCAUUUUCCUUAUUCACACAAAGCUUAUGCGUCUAUUUUAUCUGUAAGCCGACCGCCUGGCUGCUGUGAGAAUCAAUUGACGUGAUACUCUUAAGAAAACAUUGCCUGUCACAUAGUAACAGCUCAAAAAGUGUAGGGAAUGAUCUUGUCUUGAUUUCAAAUUCCUACUCCACCUGGGGAAACAGGGUUCAAGGAAGGAUGAAGGCGUGCACAGAAAUUUGUCUAGAAGAGGAGGGAGUGAGAACCGAAUCUGCUUGAGGCUGGCUUUCCUCUCCCCCCUCCCCCCAGCAACCUCUGUCUCCAACAACCGGUCCACAGCCAGCUUGCGGCAGAAACCAGAGCACAGACUGCAGGGGCCGGGUGAGUAGAGGCCAGACAACACUCCACCUGUCUGAGCUGGUUAUCACCAAACCGCAGGUGAGAACCCGGGAAAUAAGCCCUGCCCUAAAACACAGCAGCACCGGCCUUGCGGAGAAAAUUUCAUUUUCAAAUUAAGAAGCCUGAAUGUCCAUGGUCUGGACGGCAGGGGCUGAUGCAACACAACCUCCUCAAGAAAAAGAAAGCAUUUGUCUCCAAGUGCAAUUUAAAACCUUUAAAGCCUUUUCUUAUUUCUC
RNAcentral lists this long non-coding RNA (4024 nucleotides) under Sus scrofa (pig). RNAcentral's name for it is "lncRNA (ENSSSCG00000063029.1)". The record is from RNAcentral. Lineage: Eukaryota; Metazoa; Chordata; Mammalia; Artiodactyla; Suidae.